GGGGUAAAUCAGAGUCUGACGGAGCACGCCGCGUGAGUGAUGAAGGCUUUCGGGUCGUAAAACUCUGUUGUUAGGGAAGAACAAGUGCUAGUUGAAUAAGCUGGCACCUUGACGGUACCUAACCAGAAAGCCACGGCUAACUACGUGCCAGCAGCCGCGGUAAUACGUAGGUGGCAAGCGUUAUCCGGAAUUAUUGGGCGUAAAGCGCGCGCAGGUGGUUUCUUAAGUCUGAUGUGAAAGCCCACGGCUCAACCGUGGAGGGUCAUUGGAAACUGGGAGACUUGAGUGCAGAAGAGGAAAGUGGAAUUCCAUGUGUAGCGGUGAAAUGCGUAGAGAUAUGGAGGAACACCAGUGGCGAAGGCGACUUUCUGGUCUGUAACUGACACUGAGGCGCGAAAGCGUGGGGAGCAAACAGGAUUAGAUACCCUGGUAGUCCACGCCGUAAACGAUGAGUGCUAAGUGUUAGAGGGUUUCCGCCCUUUAGUGCUGAAGUUAACGCAUUAAGCACUCCGCCUGGGGAGUACGGCCGCAAGGCUGAAACUCAAAGAAAAUUGACGGG
RNAcentral lists this ribosomal RNA (559 nucleotides) under Bacillus cereus. RNAcentral describes it as "bacterial SSU rRNA". It matches the Rfam family "Bacterial small subunit ribosomal RNA", at positions 368 to 917 of the family's 1533-position model. Lineage: Bacteria; Bacillati; Bacillota; Bacilli; Caryophanales; Bacillaceae. The record is from RNAcentral.